Molecule: long non-coding RNA, 328 nt
Organism: Heterocephalus glaber (naked mole-rat)
Lineage: Eukaryota; Metazoa; Chordata; Mammalia; Rodentia; Bathyergidae
Source: Ensembl
GGAGGUCCAGGCAUCUACAGGGCACCCCAUCGCGGCCAAGCCUCCCGGUCCUCCUGUAGGAAGAGAUCUUCUACAGCCUGUAUUUAUAUUCAGACCCAUUUUUAUCCCAAUUACUGUAUAAGCUAUAGGGUUCUCACUAUUUGGUUAAACCCCGCCCUGAACUCCACUGCUGAAGUGAUCUCCUGCCUCAGUCUCCUCAAGAAGUUGGAACUGCAGGUGCCAUCGUGGGCAGAAGUUGUUUGCUUCUGAAAGGUGGAAAUAAAACUAGGCAAUGUCUGGCUGUGGGAUUUUGCUGUUUAACAACUAACCUGUAUUGCCCUGUGAGACG